This 440-nucleotide ribosomal RNA is filed under the name uncultured bacterium. Its description in RNAcentral is "partial 16S ribosomal RNA". It matches the Rfam family "Bacterial small subunit ribosomal RNA", at positions 338 to 795 of the family's 1533-position model. The record is from RNAcentral.
CCUACGGGAGGCAGCAGUAGGGAAUAUUGCUCAAUGGGGGAAACCCUGAAGCAGCCACGCCGCGUGGAGGAUGAAGGUUUUAGGAUUGUAAACUUCUUUUGUUAGAGAAGUUUAUGACGGUAUCUAACGAAUAAGCACCGGCUAACUCCGUGCCAGCAGCCGCGGUAAUACGGAGGGUGCAAGCGUUACUCGGAAUCACUGGGCGUAAAGGGUGCGUAGGCGGGGUAAUAAGUCAGUUGUGAAAUCCUGUAGCUUAACGGCAGAACUGCAGUUGAAACUGUUACUCUGGAGUGUGGGAGAGGUAGGUGGAAUUCGUGGUGUAGGGGUGAAAUGCGUAGAGAUCAAGAGGAAUACUCAUUGCGAAGGCGACCUACUGGAACAUUACUGACGCUGAUGCACGAAAGCGUGGGGAGCAAACAGGAUUAGAUACCCGUGUAGUC